CAGCCGCCGCGGUAAUACGGAGGGUGCAAGCGUUGUUCGGAAUUACUGGGCGUAAAGCGCGUGUAGGCGGCCUUGCAAGCCAGACGUGAAAGCCCUCGGCUUAACCAGGGAAGUGCGUCUGGAACUGCUCGGCUCGAGUACGGGAGAGGGAGGCGGAAUUCCCAGUGUAGAGGUGAAAUUCGUAGAUAUUGGGAGGAACACCGGUGGCGAAAGCGGCCUCCUGGACCGAUACUGACGCUGAGACGCGAAAGCGUGGGGAGCAAACAGGAUUAGAUACCCUGGUAGUCCACGCCCUAAACGAUGUCAACUAGGUGUUGGGGAAGGUGACUUCCUUAGUACCGCAGCUAACGCGUGAAGUUGACCGCCUGGGGAGUACGGCCGCAAGGUUAAAACUCAAAGGAAUUGACGG
RNAcentral lists this ribosomal RNA (409 nucleotides) under uncultured bacterium. RNAcentral's name for it is "bacterial SSU rRNA". It matches the Rfam family "Bacterial small subunit ribosomal RNA", at positions 509 to 916 of the family's 1533-position model. The record is from RNAcentral.